Molecule: ribosomal RNA, 484 nt
Filed under: Streptomyces polymachus
Lineage: Bacteria; Bacillati; Actinomycetota; Actinomycetes; Kitasatosporales; Streptomycetaceae
Description: bacterial SSU rRNA
Rfam family: Bacterial small subunit ribosomal RNA
Source: RNAcentral
GACGGCCUUCGGGUUGUAAACCUCUUUCAGCAGGGAAGAAGCGAGAGUGACGGUACCUGCAGAAGAAGCGCCGGCUAACUACGUGCCAGCAGCCGCGGUAAUACGUAGGGCGCGAGCGUUGUCCGGAAUUAUUGGGCGUAAAGAGCUCGUAGGCGGUCUGUCGCGUCGGAUGUGAAAGCCCGGGGCUUAACCCCGGGUCUGCAUUCGAUACGGGCAGACUAGAGUGUGGUAGGGGAGAUCGGAAUUCCUGGUGUAGCGGUGAAAUGCGCAGAUAUCAGGAGGAACACCGGUGGCGAAGGCGGAUCUCUGGGCCAUUACUGACGCUGAGGAGCGAAAGCGUGGGGAGCGAACAGGAUUAGAUACCCUGGUAGUCCACGCCGUAAACGGUGGGAACUAGGUGUUGGCGACAUUCCACGUCGUCGGUGCCGCAGCUAACGCAUUAAGUUCCCCGCCUGGGGAGUACGGCCGCAAGGCUAAAACUCAA